CCAGAUGGCCGGAUGGCCGCCUUCGACUCCGUCGGGGGAGGAAAGUCCGGGCUCCACGGAAACACGGUGCCGGCUAACGGCCGGCGGGGGCGACCCUAGGGAAAGUGCCACAGAAAGCAAACCGCCGCGCGCAUCCAGGCUUUUGCCAUGGGGGCCGCGGUAAGGGUGAAAGGGUGCGGUAAGAGCGCACCGCGCCCCUGGCAACAGGGGCGGCACGGUAAACCCCACCGGGAGCAAGACCGAAUAGGGGCGGCACGGCCCGCCAUCCCUUUUGGGAUGGUAUGGGGCCAAGCGCGUUUCCGCGCCGCCGCCCGGGUUGGUCGCGAGAGGCGCCGGGCAACCGGCGUCCCAGAUGAAUGGCCAUCCAUCGGGGGAAACCCCGAGGACAAAACCCGGCUUACAGGCCAUCUGGCGCU
RNAcentral lists this RNase P RNA (416 nucleotides) under Azospirillum rugosum. Its description in RNAcentral is "RNase P RNA component class A". It matches the Rfam family "Bacterial RNase P class A". Rfam says of the family: Ribonuclease P (RNase P) is a ubiquitous endoribonuclease, found in archaea, bacteria and eukarya as well as chloroplasts and mitochondria. Its best characterised activity is the generation of mature 5'-ends of tRNAs by cleaving the 5'-leader elements of precursor-tRNAs. Cellular RNase Ps are ribonucleoproteins. The record is from RNAcentral. Lineage: Bacteria; Pseudomonadati; Pseudomonadota; Alphaproteobacteria; Rhodospirillales; Azospirillaceae.